GGGCACUUGGUCUAGGGGUAUGAUUUUCGUUUCGCAUUCUGCAGGUCUUGCAAUUAUGAAAGGUCGAGGGUUCAAUUCCCUCAGUGUCCA
Non-coding RNA from Podospora australis, 90 nucleotides. The record is from the annotation of a GenBank genome assembly. NCBI's taxonomy places the organism in Eukaryota, Fungi, Ascomycota, Sordariomycetes, Sordariales, Podosporaceae.